GUUGACGUGUUGUUGUGGAGGAACCAAAAGAUAUCAGCUAGUGUUUUAACUGCUGCAACUUUUGUUUGGGUGCUCUUUAAAUGGCUCAAUUAUCAUUUCUUGACUCUUGUGGGUUUUGCUUUGGUUCUAGGCUCCAAACAAGGACAGCAGCUGCAGUGUCAGAAAAUGCCAUAGUUCUAAGUUUUAAAUCGAGGGGCCUUGGAUUACAAGUUGUGAAAUAUUUGGCUGCCAAAUAUGAAGAGCUAGGGUGUGAAGUGAAAUGGAUGGGCAAGCCUGAUAAGGUGAUCUAGUCACAUUGGUCUGGUUACCGCUGUUAACUUCACUUCAUGUGAACCUUUAGCCUAAUACAUAUUUCUCUCGCACUUGACUACCAAGAUGAAUUUUGAGCAAGGCUACUUUUUGCUUUGAAGCAAAGUUUGGUGUAGAAAUUUUGUAGAUUGUUGCUCAUAUGUUUCUAGGCUAUCCUUUGUAGGUUUUGGGGUUUUCUUUUGUGACAUAUGUUCAAUCAUGAAUUUGGAAAGAAAAUUAA
Molecule: long non-coding RNA, 529 nt
Organism: Rosa chinensis
Lineage: Eukaryota; Viridiplantae; Streptophyta; Magnoliopsida; Rosales; Rosaceae
Exons: 3
Source: RefSeq, a predicted model, not a curated record